RNAcentral lists this ribosomal RNA (661 nucleotides) under uncultured yard-trimming-compost bacterium. RNAcentral describes it as "bacterial SSU rRNA". It matches the Rfam family "Bacterial small subunit ribosomal RNA", at positions 37 to 691 of the family's 1533-position model. The record is from RNAcentral.
UGGCGGCGUGCUUAACACAUGCAAGUCGUACGAGAAUAAGGUAGCAAUAUCUUUAGUAAAGUGGCGCACGGGUGAGUAACACGUAAGCAACCUGCCUUCGGGUUUGGAAUAACCCCGAGAAAUCGGGGCUAAUACCGGAUUAUGCAGCGGCACCGCAUGGUGAUGUUGUUAAAGUCUAUAUGGCGCCCGAAGAUGAGCUUGGGUCCGAUUAGCUAGUUGGUAAGGUAACGGCUUACCAAGGCUACGAUCGGUAGCUGGUCUGAGAGGAUGAUCAGCCACACUGGAACUGAGACACGGUCCAGACUCCUACGGGAGGCAGCAGUGAGGAAUAUUGGGCAAUGCCCGCAAGGGUGACCCAGCAACGCCGCGUGGAGGAUGAAUGCCGUAAGGUUGUAAACUCCUGUUAGAGGGGAAGAAUAAUUCCGAUCAACUCGGAACUUGACUGUACCCUCAGAGAAAGCCCCGGCUAACUACGUGCCAGCAGCCGCGGUAAUACGUAGGGGGCUAGCGUUGUCCGGAUUUACUGGGUGUAAAGGGCGCGCAGGUGGAUCUUCAAGUCAGAGGUGAAAUCUUCCCGCUCAACGGGAAAACUGCCUUUGAUACUGUUAAUCUUGAGUUCGGAAGAGAGAGAUGGAAUUCCAGGUGUAGUGGUGAAAUACGU